UGGGGAAUUUUGGACAAUGGGCGAAAGCCUGAUCCAGCAAUGCCGCGUGUGUGAAGAAGGCCUUCGGGUUGUAAAGCACUUUUGUCCGGAAAGAAAUCCUUGGCUCUAAUACAGUCGGGGGAUGACGGUACCGGAAGAAUAAGCACCGGCUAACUACGUGCCAGCAGCCGCGGUAAUACGUAGGGUGCAAGCGUUAAUCGGAAUUACUGGGCGUAAAGCGUGCGCAGGCGGUUUGCUAAGACCGAUGUGAAAUCCCCGGGCUCAACCUGGGAACUGCAUUGGUGACUGGCAGGCUAGAGUAUGGCAGAGGGGGGUAGAAUUCCACGUGUAGCAGUGAAAUGCGUAGAGAUGUGGAGGAAUACCGAUGGCGAAGGCAGCCCCCUGGGCCAAUACUGACGCUCAUGCACGAAAGCGUGGGGAGCAAACAGGAUUAGAUACCCUGGUAGUCCACGCCCUAAACGAUGUCAACUAGUUGUUGGGGAUUCAUUUCCUUAGUAACGUAGCUAACGCGUGAAGUUGACCGCCUGGGGAGUACGGUCGCAAGAUUAAAACUUCAAAUGAAUUGACGGGGUCAUAGCUG
RNAcentral lists this ribosomal RNA (580 nucleotides) under uncultured bacterium. Its description in RNAcentral is "partial 16S ribosomal RNA". It matches the Rfam family "Bacterial small subunit ribosomal RNA", at positions 355 to 932 of the family's 1533-position model. The record is from RNAcentral.